Molecule: ribosomal RNA, 439 nt
Filed under: uncultured bacterium
Lineage: Bacteria
Description: bacterial SSU rRNA
Rfam family: Bacterial small subunit ribosomal RNA
Source: RNAcentral
CCUACGGGGGGCAGCAGUGGGGAAUAUUGGACAAUGGGGGGAACCCUGAUCCAGCGACGCCGCGUGAGUGAAGAAGUAUUUCGGUAUGUAAAGCUCUAUCAGCAGGGAAGAAAGAAAUGACGGUACCUGACUAAGAAGCCCCGGCUAACUACGUGCCAGCAGCCGCGGUAAUACGUAGGGGGCAAGCGUUAUCCGGAUUUACUGGGUGUAAAGGGAGCGUAGACGGCGAUGCAAGUCUGAAGUGAAAGGCGGGGGCCCAACCCCCGGACUGCUUUGGAAACUGUAUAGCUGGAGUGCAGGAGAGGUAAGUGGAAUUCCUAGUGUAGCGGUGAAAUGCGUAGAUAUUAGGAGGAACACCAGUGGCGAAGGCGGCUUACUGGACUGUAACUGACGUUGAGGCUCGAAAGCGUGGGGAGCAAACAGGAUUAGAUACCCCAGU